Molecule: transfer RNA, 73 nt
Organism: Tolumonas auensis DSM 9187
Lineage: Bacteria; Pseudomonadati; Pseudomonadota; Gammaproteobacteria; Aeromonadales; Aeromonadaceae
Rfam family: tRNA
About the family: Transfer RNA (tRNA) molecules are approximately 80 nucleotides in length. Their secondary structure includes four short double-helical elements and three loops (D, anti-codon, and T loops). Further hydrogen bonds mediate the characteristic L-shaped molecular structure. tRNAs have two regions of fundamental functional importance: the anti-codon, which is responsible for specific mRNA codon recognition, and the 3' end, to which the tRNAs corresponding amino acid is attached (by aminoacyl-tRNA synthetases). tRNAs cope with the degeneracy of the genetic code in two manners: having more than one tRNA (with a specific anti-codon) for a particular amino acid; and 'wobble' base-pairing, i.e. permitting non-standard base-pairing at the 3rd anti-codon position.
Source: Rfam
GCGGGAAUAGCUCAGUUGGUAGAGCAUAACCUUGCCAAGGUUAGGGUCGCGAGUUCGAGUCUCGUUUCCCGCU